CUACUGGAGGCUGUGCAGCUAGGACAUUUUAAUUAAGAGUGCUUUUUCCUGUGAAAUUUUCACGGUCAUUUAUCUUCCAGGCCACUGCUUUUGAUUUGCUCUGACUCCAGCCCUGGCAGGCCCUAUCAGUGAGGCAGUUUCAAGGGGGAAAAUUGGAUUUGGAUAUUGUAAAUAAGGAAAGGAAGAUAGACAGGGUUGCCAUGCUACUAACUGGAAGAAACUUGAGACUGCUGAAAGGAGGAGGGAGGUGACCUUGCAGAACAGAUAUUGCUUGUGGGAAAAGAAGGCCUCCUAGUCUAUACCUGCUUCCAUGAGUGGACUACAUAUUGUUCAGUGAAUGUUUGUGCUUGACCUAGGUUUAUAAAAAAGAUUUGCUUACAUGAAGUGGCUCUGUGCAGUCUAUUCCACAUCAGAGUAGAAGAGGAAGCCGCAGUUCUCUUUGCACAACGGCAGCAAAUGGUGGCCUCUUUGCCAUGCG
RNAcentral lists this long non-coding RNA (478 nucleotides) under Numida meleagris (helmeted guineafowl). RNAcentral describes it as "lncRNA (ENSNMEG00000018379.1)". Lineage: Eukaryota; Metazoa; Chordata; Aves; Galliformes; Numididae. The record is from RNAcentral.